RNAcentral lists this long non-coding RNA (364 nucleotides) under Salvia miltiorrhiza (redroot sage). Its description in RNAcentral is "long non-coding RNA (SMIL_LNC001888)". Lineage: Eukaryota; Viridiplantae; Streptophyta; Magnoliopsida; Lamiales; Lamiaceae. The record is from RNAcentral.
AAGUGCUCUGCACUGUUCAUUUCAGCUGAAAGUGCUCUGCACUGUUCAUCCAAAGUGCUCUGCACUGUUCAUCCUUUUCGCAAGAAAAGAGAAGGCCGACGCUGAAAAUCGCAUCUCGCCGCUGCUGGGUUCCCGCCCACUACACGGCGCGCAGCUUUCGCAUCUCGCCACCGCUGGGUUCAUCUGCUAUUAGAGAGAGAGAGAAGUCAUCGCUACAGGAGCAGCAAGGGUUUGGGAAUUGGGUUUGCAGCAGCAGCCGCUGCUCCCUUCUCGUUCCAGUCAGCCCGUCGCUGCCGCAAGAUCCGCGACGCCGACGACGUCGCGCGACCUCGCCUGACGAAGCCCGCUGCUCGUCAGCACGNNN